Long non-coding RNA from Rhincodon typus (whale shark), 391 nucleotides. RefSeq lists it as uncharacterized. The record is from RefSeq and is a predicted model, not a curated record. The transcript is spliced from 3 exons. Lineage: Eukaryota; Metazoa; Chordata; Chondrichthyes; Orectolobiformes; Rhincodontidae.
UUGCAGGCUGGUUUGGAUUCUUAUACAGCAGCAGAGUCAGGGUUUUCCUAUCAAUACUGUGUCUACGAUGGGUUCAGAGAAACAUUGUUUUUUCACAUUUUUGCUUUAUGCACCUUCUUCUUUUUCCUUCAAAUUGUAUCUUUCUAUUUUGGUGGUGUUUGUUUUGAGAGCCUGUUGCAUAGUGUGGGAAAUGGACCUCACACCCCGGAGAACUUGGCUCGGAAACCAUACGCCCCUGUUGGAUUUGGCUUCAUCUGUGGAUCCUACCUAUAAAUGGGGGUCGGGGGAGGCAAGGUGAUGCUUUCUGGAUUCAUGGAUUUCCCUCUUCUACAAGCUAAAUGCAACAAGCUAACCCUUCUGCUGUCCAAAGAGCUCCAUCUCUGUCAACUAU